This is a long non-coding RNA of Mastomys coucha (southern multimammate mouse), 347 nucleotides long. RefSeq lists it as uncharacterized. The record is from RefSeq and is a predicted model, not a curated record. The transcript has 2 exons. Lineage: Eukaryota; Metazoa; Chordata; Mammalia; Rodentia; Muridae.
UGUUUUUUUUUUUUUAAUUCUGCUAGUUUGUUUGGUUUCUGAGAAGUCUAUAUGAAUCAUAUUAUUCUUUCUAGAUAAGCAUGGUGCCUAUACAUACCCUCUCCUUAAAUCCUCACCUGCACUUCUUUGAGUGUAAUGAAAUAAGUCUGGAACUGCAACCAAACAGUAGAGGAUAAUUAUGGGGCUCAGUGAUAUUGUGGACUCCAAGGAACUCAAGCCAUGCUCAUCUUCCCUUACAUCAUCUUUCCAUUUCAAAGAAUCCAUAGAGUAAUGUUAUUCCUCAACAAUGCCUUGAAGUCCCCUUAAUUUUUGUAAGAAAAAGUUGCAAUUAUAAAUUUUAAAGUAUA